Molecule: ribosomal RNA, 1495 nt
Filed under: uncultured compost bacterium
Lineage: Bacteria
Description: bacterial SSU rRNA
Rfam family: Bacterial small subunit ribosomal RNA
Source: RNAcentral
UAAUACAUGCAAGUCGAGCGAGCUGAAUUCAAAGAUCCCUUCGGGGGGAUUUGUUGGACGCUAGCGGCGGAUGGGUGAGUAACACGUGGGCAAUCUGCCCUAAAGACUGGGAUACCACUUGGAAACAGGUGCUAAUACCGGAUAACAACAUGAAUCGCAUGAUUCAAGUUUGAAAGGCGGCGCAAGCUGUCACUUUAGGAUGAGCCCGCGGCGCAUUAGCUAGUUGGUGGGGUAAAGGCCUACCAAGGCAAUGAUGCGUAGCCGAGUUGAGAGACUGAUCGGCCACAUUGGGACUGAGACACGGCCCAAACUCCUACGGGAGGCAGCAGUAGGGAAUCUUCCACAAUGGACGAAAGUCUGAUGGAGCAACGCCGCGUGAGUGAAGAAAGUCUUCGGAUCGUAAAGCUCUGUUGUUGGUGAAGAAGGAUAGAGGCAGCAACUGGUCUUUAUUUGACGGUAAUCAACCAGAAAGUCACGGCUAACUACGUGCCAGCAGCCGCGGUAAUACGUAGGUGGCAAGCGUUGUCCGGAUUUAUUGGGCGUAAAGCGAGCGCAGGCGGAAAAAUAAGUCUAAUGUGAAAGCCCUCGGCUUAACCGAGGAACUGCAUCGGAAACUGUUUUUCUUGAGUGCAGAAGAGGAGAGUGGAACUCCAUGUGUAGCGGUGGAAUGCGUAGAUAUAUGGAAGAACACCAGUGGCGAAGGCGGCUCUCUGGUCUGCAACUGACGCUGAGGCUCGAAAGCAUGGGUAGCGAACAGGAUUAGAUACCCUGGUAGUCCAUGCCGUAAACGAUGAGUGCUAAGUGUUGGGAGGUUUCCGCCUCUCAGUGCUGCAGCUAACGCAUUAAGCACUCCGCCUGGGGAGUACGACCGCAAGGUUGAAACUCAAAGGAAUUGACGGGGGCCCGCACAAGCGGUGGAGCAUGUGGUUUAAUUCGAAGCAACGCGAAGAACCUUACCAGGUCUUGACAUCUAGUGCAAUCUGUAGAGAUAUGGAGUUCCCUUCGGGGACGCUAAGACAGGUGGUGCAUGGCUGUCGUCAGCUCGUGUCGUGAGAUGUUGGGUUAAGUCCCGCAACGAGCGCAACCCUUGUUAUUAGUUGCCAGCAUUAAGUUGGGCACUCUAAUGAGACUGCCGGUGACAAACCGGAGGAAGGUGGGGAUGACGUCAAGUCAUCAUGCCCCUUAUGACCUGGGCUACACACGUGCUACAAUGGGCAGUACAACGAGAAGCAAGCCUGCGAAGGCAAGCGAAUCUCUGAAAGCUGUUCUCAGUUCGGACUGCAGUCUGCAACUCGACUGCACGAAGCUGGAAUCGCUAGUAAUCGCGGAUCAGCACGCCGCGGUGAAUACGUUCCCGGGCCUUGUACACACCGCCCGUCACACCAUGGGAGUCUGCAAUGCCCAAAGCCGGUGGCCUAACCUUCGGGAAGGAGCCGUCUAAGGCAGGGCAGAUGACUUGGGGGUGAAGUCGUAACAAGGUAGCCGUAGGAGAACC